CGUUCUGCGCAUGACAGCUGUUAGGCCAGAGGUGUCAAGGUCGCAUAGGACUAGCAACUUACAUUUGUGAGGAAGUCGUCGUAAACCAAGAUAAUUGAUUGGCCUCAGACCAUCAUGGACAGUGAAGUUGUGAGAGAUGGACGUCUAAUGGAGAUGGUGGAUGAAAAAUGGCGAGAAGACAAAUUACCAAUGGAAGACAUUGCAGUCCCCCAGAUGGAGCUACCCGAACUAGAACCUGACAACGGCCCUAGCAACGAAACGCUGCGCGAACAAGAACAAAAAUGGACAGAUUUGGCACUUUCACGUCUCCAUGAGCAACCACCCCUAUCAAACUCAAAUGGCUGAAACUGUGGUUGCUUACAUCAUGAAUAGGAGCUGUAUCCAUCAAUAUACAGCUAAAAACUUAAAAUUAUAUAGUGUUAAAUGGGAACAAUUGUGAAUUGUUCCUGCAAAAUACUCCACCGUAAAACACAUGAAUUAGUCAACACUGAACUGUUUGAUGCUCAUAGAGAAUUAAUUUCCAUGUUGGACAGAUCCAUGACUUUGGUAUGAACACUUUUAAUGAAGGAUUCCUGUCCCACGGCAGGCAAAACAGUAGAUAAUUCCACAUUGGUUUUGUUUUGUUAUUGGGUUACCUCCCUUUAAAUUGGUUUUAGAUAUAUGUACAUGUAUGUAACAAAGGCAUGUCAGUCCCGGGGUACUCUAUUGACAGGGAAACUCAGUAAAUUAGAGAGACUGUAUGAUGACCAGAGGUCUCAGAUUUUAAUUCUUACUCUCAGAACACUGUUAUUUCUUGCUGUUUAUUGUCUUCAUAAAAACAUGUACAUUGCAUGUUUUCUUCAAAAUGGAUUCAUUUAGAGGUAAAGUAAUGCAUUGAAUGCAUAGUUAAAACUUUCAUCUGUAGUACAGGGGUCCUCACAACCAUACUACUGUUCAGUGUUCUGUUAAAUGAGAUGAGUUUGUCAGAAUAAACACCUAUAUUUAUUACAUA
Molecule: long non-coding RNA, 991 nt
Organism: Mizuhopecten yessoensis (Yesso scallop)
Lineage: Eukaryota; Metazoa; Mollusca; Bivalvia; Pectinida; Pectinidae
Exons: 2
Source: RefSeq, a predicted model, not a curated record